AUGGCGGAGGAAUCGUGGAGCAACUCCCCUCCGUUUGCCAAGAGAAUGGCAGAGGCAUCGUGGAGCAACUCCCCUCCGUCUGCCAAGCAUCACCGUGGUGAGGCGUCUGGCAAGGAGCCGCUGGUGGUCGACAACGACGUUCCGGUCCCCGGGCAGAAGCAAGACUACACCGUGCCGCUCAUGGUUGAUAUCCACCUGAAGGAGAAGCUGGAUGUCGUAUGCACCAGCAAUCCAGACGAAGCCGACAAGAGGAUCCGCGACAUGAGGAGGAGGCUCGGCGGCAUGGUUUCUCGGUCGAUCGGCGUUGAUGUCGAGUAUACCAGGGAAGACGAACCUCCGCAAAUGGCUGUAGUUCUGCAGUUAUGCGUGGAGGAUCUCGUCCUGGUAUACCACAUCACCGCGGCAACCAAAUGGCCCAAGGAACUCCGCCCGCUCCUGCGGGAGAAGAAGUUGUACACCUUUGUUGGCUUCUCCAUUGGAGGUGACAAGGAGAAGCUGAAGUUGUCUGGUUUGGAGAUCAACCCCGACAACCUCAUCCACCCAUCCUACAAGGAAAUGAAGGGGAAGAUCAACAAGAAAUUGGACCACAAACGAUGGGGGGGCAGCCCACUGCCAAACAACCUCAUCGAGUAUGCAGCGAAAGAUGCGUACGUCACCUACGAGGCAUGGAAGAAAAUCGAAACCGUCAAAGAAGGUUGGAGCAAUGGCAAGAGGCGGAGGAUCAUUGGGAUGACCCCUACUACUGGGGAUAUU
Molecule: ribosomal RNA, 753 nt
Filed under: Triticum aestivum (bread wheat)
Lineage: Eukaryota; Viridiplantae; Streptophyta; Magnoliopsida; Poales; Poaceae
Description: partial small subunit ribosomal RNA
Source: RNAcentral